Molecule: ribosomal RNA, 253 nt
Filed under: uncultured bacterium
Lineage: Bacteria
Description: partial 16S ribosomal RNA
Rfam family: Bacterial small subunit ribosomal RNA
Source: RNAcentral
UACGUAGGGGGCUAGCGUUGUCCGGAAUCAUUGGGCGUAAAGAGCGUGUAGGCGGCCCGGUAAGUCCGCUGUGAAAGUCGGGGGCUCAACCCUCGAAUGCCGGUGGAUACUGUCGGGCUAGAGUGCGGAAGAGGCGAGUGCAAUUCCUGGUGUAGCGGUGAAAUGCGCAGAUAUCAGGAGGAACACCAAUUGCGAAGGCAGCUCGCUGGGACGUAACUGACGCUGAGGCGCGACAGCGUGGGGAGCAAACAGG